ACACACUAUGAUGGGAAAGAAGGAGGCUGACAGAGAGGACAUUGGCAGGAAGGAGCCCUACUGUAGAUGUGGUGGUCAGAGAAGGGCCUUUGUGAGAAGCUGACACAUAAUCUCACAGUUGAAGUUGUGAGAAGGAGCUGGUCCUCCAGAGAGAAGUAGGAAGAGCGCUCCAGCAGAAUCUCUGGACAAGUGCAGCUACGACUGCUGCUGGGACCGCGAUACUGUGAUGAGACUUUGCAUAUUUAAAAGGAUGUCGAGAGAGGAGGAGGAAUGAUAAAUGAACUCAGGAAGAUGUGAUGUCUUCUGUGAUGACACUAAUAGAUGGAAUGCAGAAUUCAGCUCCAAUACUUAGGGUUGGAAACCAAACAUAAACAAGCAAGCAAGGAAAAUGAAAAGGAAUGUGUGUGUGUGUGUGUGUGUGUGUGUGUGUGUGUGUGUGUAGGUGUGAGAGUAUAUGAAAUACAUGAAAAGAUAAAAAGUUAGAUGCUGCUAAAGGGACAGACAUGUAGGAAUUUUACAUUAGGGUUGUUCUGAUUUUCAUUUUCUUGCCUUUUAAAAUUUAAUGAUAAACAAGUCUCCAGAGAUUUUUACAGCCUGGGAGACCACUGGUAAGACAACAAUAUAGGUGGUCCUCCAGCAGGAUCUAAAUCAGAGCCUUCAUAGUGGACUGUCGGGCCAGGUGCAGCUGUAGACAAUGCAUCUUCAGGAGUGGGGUGAAGAAAUUUAAUGGACUAGUAAUGCAACAGGAGGUAGAAGAAAAGUGUUCUCUCACUAAAGCAUGGUGGGUGUUUUCAAAAUGUUUAAA
RNAcentral lists this long non-coding RNA (805 nucleotides) under Homo sapiens (human). RNAcentral describes it as "non-protein coding lnc-RGL1-1:3". Lineage: Eukaryota; Metazoa; Chordata; Mammalia; Primates; Hominidae. The record is from RNAcentral.